This 245-nucleotide ribosomal RNA is filed under the name uncultured bacterium. Its description in RNAcentral is "partial small subunit ribosomal RNA". It matches the Rfam family "Bacterial small subunit ribosomal RNA", at positions 26 to 285 of the family's 1533-position model. The record is from RNAcentral.
AGAAUCAACGCUGGCGGCGUGCCUAACACAUGCAAGUCGCACGAGAAAGUGGAGCAAUCCACGAGUACAGUGGCGCACGGGUGAGUAACACGUGACUUAUCUACCUCCGAGUGGGGAAUAACUGAGAGAAAUCUUAGCUAAUACCGCAUAACACUUACGAGUCAAAGCAGCAAUGCGCUUGGAGAGGAGUUCGCGGCCGAUUAGUUAGUUGGCGGGGUAAUGGCCCACCAAGACGAUGAUCGGUA